ACAGGGAGCUACCUACCUACCUCUAAGUAUUGUUUGCCAAUUGAUUCAUGGAUGAACUUGGUUAAGGAAAAAAAUCUAGACCUGGACAAAAGAGCCAGAAGUUAUUGGGAUACAAUAACCAUGUAUCUUGUAUGGUUAGCAUGCCUGCGGAUGACUUCAUCAACACAGUUUCAGAAACUACUCAUUAACUCCAGUCAUGGAUCUGGCCAGGUGGCUCUGGAUUCCGGCAAUGCUACCUUAUUUCAUUGUCCCACCGGACCCAAGUCGGACCCAAGUGUGAGACAAGCAUUCACCUAUUGUUAGCCUUUAGUUUGUGUCUCACUAAAUUGUUUUGCCAACUUACAUAAUAAAUUCCCUCUAUGAAAUCUCUACUACUUGAAAUACCUGGAAUGAUUCAGUUCCUAGGCAAAUACUGAAUUAUACAAUGGGGCAGACUAACCACAGAAAUAAUUUUCAUAAAAGUCAGACUUAUGAAAGACAAAAUGCCUUGGGCUUGGGUGGAGAAGUCAAGGCUUGGGACUCAUAGGAAAUUGUUGGAAACGUUUUCUGGAAGAGUUGGACCUUGAGAUGGUCCUGAAAGAGAGAAGAAGACUGAGCAAUAAAGACUAGGAGAUAUGAAAACACACACAUACACAAACACACAUGUGUGCGCGCACGCGCAAGCACACACAAGCAAAAACACAAUUUCAUGCUGAAGAAACGAAUAAGAAAAAACAAAGAGAAAGAACAAAAAU
This 734-nucleotide long non-coding RNA is filed under the name Rattus norvegicus (Norway rat). RNAcentral's name for it is "long non-coding RNA NONRATT029481". The record is from RNAcentral. Lineage: Eukaryota; Metazoa; Chordata; Mammalia; Rodentia; Muridae.